This 253-nucleotide ribosomal RNA is filed under the name uncultured bacterium. RNAcentral describes it as "partial 16S ribosomal RNA". It matches the Rfam family "Bacterial small subunit ribosomal RNA", at positions 524 to 776 of the family's 1533-position model. The record is from RNAcentral.
UACAGAGGUGGCAAGCGUUGUUCGGAAUUACUGGGCGUAAAGGGCGCGUAGGCGGCCCGAUAAGUCCCGCGUGAAAGCCCCCGGCUCAACUGGGGAACUGCGCGGGAAACUAUUGGGCUUGAGAUCGGGAGAGGGAAGCGGAAUUCCGGGUGUAGCGGUGAAAUGCGUAGAUAUCCGGAGGAACACCAGUGGCGAAGGCGGCUUCCUGGACCGACACUGACGCUGAGGCGCGAAAGCUAGGGGAGCAAACGGG